AAGUCGUAACAAGGUUUCCGUAGGUGAACCUGCGGAAGGAUCAUUAACACGUAUCCAACGUUAAACAACCCUGUGAACUUUAAGUCCCCUCUUGCAGCCCAUGAGGAACAGCAAUCCCGGUAAAUCAUUGCCAAACAGUUUUGAUUCGGGACCUCUGUCCAAAAGGAGUUGCAAUCGAAGGGUGGAAGCAGUGGCAUGGCUUCCCCAAGCAGUUAGUGAAUGACAGUGUCACUGACUGUGUAAGGAUAACGCCUCACGGUUGCUAGAGGUUGAUCAUCGAAUGGCAGACAUGUCACACGCCCCUUAAUCACUCCACUUGAAAAUGCCCCGCCUAGUGGUCGCGCUAGGGAAAAAAAACCGAACAACUGUUCACACUGGAUAUCUUGGUUCUC
RNAcentral lists this unclassified non-coding RNA (392 nucleotides) under fungal sp. RNAcentral's name for it is "partial internal transcribed spacer region". The stretch from base 1 to 46 matches the Rfam family "Eukaryotic small subunit ribosomal RNA", at positions 1786 to 1831 of the family's 1831-position model. The record is from RNAcentral. Lineage: Eukaryota; Fungi.